RNAcentral lists this ribosomal RNA (1679 nucleotides) under human gut metagenome. RNAcentral's name for it is "bacterial LSU rRNA". It matches the Rfam family "Bacterial large subunit ribosomal RNA", at positions 829 to 2524 of the family's 2925-position model. The record is from RNAcentral.
CCAAUCGAACCCGGAGAUAGCUGGUUCUCCUCGAAAUAGCUUUAGGGCUAGCCUCAUGGAUCAUUGAUGGGGGUAGAGCACUGAAUGUGCGCGGGGGCCACAAAGCCUACCAAACGCUAUCAAACUUCGAAUACCAUACAAUGCAGACCAUGGGAGUCAGUCCGCGAGAGAUAAGUUCCGCGGGCAAAAGGGGAACACCCCAGAUCAACCGCUAAGGUCCCCAAGUUCACGUUAAGUGGAGAAGGAUGUGGAAUUGCACAGACAACCAGGAUGUUGGCUCAGAAGCAGCCACACAUUUAAAGAGUGCGUAAUAGCUCACUGGUCGAGUGAUUGUGCGCCGAAGAUGUCCGGGGCUAAACGUGACACCGAAGCGAUGGGUGCAUCUGAAAGGAUGCGCGGUAGAGGAGCAAUGUGCAGAGGCAGAAGCCGUAUCGAGAGGCACGGUGGACACUGCACAAGAGAGAAUGCCGGUAUGAGUAGCGAGAGGCAUGCGAGAAACAUGCCCGUCGAAAGCCCAAGGUUUCCUGGGGAAGGUUCAUCCGCCCAGGGUAAGUCGGGGCCUAAGCCGAGGACGGAAGUCGUAGGCGAUGGACAGCAGGUGUAGAUUCCUGCACUACCGAUGGAAUGAAGCAGUGACACAGAAGGAUAACUCGAGCAGGGUGAUGGUCAACCCUGUGCAAGCAUCAAGGUUGGGUUGUAGUGAAGUACGCAACCCUAUAAGCUGAGGUGUGAUGCGGACCGAAAUUUCAGUAGGGAAGCGAGUGAGUUCACGCUGGCGAGAAAAGCUGCUAGUACAUCCAAAGGUACCCGUACCGGAAACCGACGCAGGUGGGCGAGGAGAGAAUCCUGAGACGAACGGGAGAACCCUUGUUAAGGAACUCGGCAAAAUGACCCCGUAACUUCGGGAUAAGGGGUGCCUGCGAGAGCAGGCCGCAGAGAAUAGUCACAAGCGACUGUUUAGCAAAAACACAGGUAUCUGCGAAAGCGAGAGCUGACGUAUAGGUGCUGACACCUGCCCGGUGCUGGAAGGUUAAGGGAACAUGUUAGAGCAAUCGAAGCAUCGAACCGAAGCCCCAGUAAACGGCGGCCGUAACUAUAACGGUCCUAAGGUAGCGAAAUUCCUUGUCGGGUAAGUUCCGACCCGCACGAAUGGUGUAACGACUUGUGAGCUGUCUCAACAGGGGGCCCGGUGAAAUUGAAGUAUGGGUGAAGAUGCCCAUUACCCGCGACUGGACGGAAAGACCCCGUAGAGCUUUACUGCAGCCUGAUAUUGAGUUUCGGUAACUGAUGCACAGGAUAGGUGGGAGUCUGAGAGACACGGGUUUCGGCUCGUGUGGAGACGAUGUUGGGAUACCACUCUUCGGUUACUGAAAUUCUAACAUAGCUCUGUGAAACCAGAGGAUGGACAGUGUCAGGUGGACAGUUUGACUGGGGCGGUCGCCUCCGAAAGAGUAACGGAGGCGCCCAAAGGUACCCUCAGAAUGGAUGGAAACCAUUCGAAGAGCGCAAAGGCAGAAGGGUGCCUGACUGCGAGAUUGACAACUCGAGCAGAGACGAAAGUCGGGCUUAGUGAUCCGGCGGUAUUGAGUGGAAAAGCCGUCGCUUAACGGAUAAAAGCUACCUCGGGGAUAACAGGCUGAUCUCCCCCAAGAGUCCACAUCGACGGGGAGGUUUGGCAC